UAUAUAAAGUCUAACCUGCCCACUGAAAUUUAAAGGGCCGCGGUAUAUUGACCGUGCGAAGGUAGCAUAAUCAUUAGUCUUUUAAUUGGAGGCUGGAAUGAAUGGUUGAACAAAAAAUAGUCUGUCUCAGCACUAAAAUUAGAAAUUAACUUUUAAGUGAAAAGGCUUAAAUUUUACAGAGGGACGAUAAGACCCUAUAAAGCUUUAUAUUAAUUGGAUGAGUAAUAAGAAUUAAAAAUUAUUUAUCUAAGAAAUAUUAUGUUGGGGCGACAAAAAUAUAAAUUGUAACUGUUAAAAAGUGUAAACUUAAAAUAAAAGAUUUAAAUAUUGAUCUUUUAAUAAAGAUUAUAAGAUUAAGUUACUUUAGGGAUAACAGCGUAAUCUUUUUUGAGAGUUCUUAUCGACAAAAAGACUUGCGACCUCGAUGUUGAAUUAAGAAGUCCUUUUGGUGUAGCCGUUAAAUGGGAAGGUCUGUUCGACCUUUA
This 485-nucleotide ribosomal RNA is filed under the name Allanaspides hickmani. RNAcentral describes it as "partial 16S ribosomal RNA". It matches the Rfam family "Bacterial large subunit ribosomal RNA", at positions 1844 to 2590 of the family's 2925-position model. The record is from RNAcentral. Lineage: Eukaryota; Metazoa; Arthropoda; Malacostraca; Anaspidacea; Anaspididae.